Heterocephalus glaber (naked mole-rat) is the source of this 1721-nucleotide long non-coding RNA. NCBI's taxonomy places the organism in Eukaryota, Metazoa, Chordata, Mammalia, Rodentia, Bathyergidae. The record is from Ensembl.
CGCCCCAGCCUCCGCCUCAGUGGCCCCCGCCUGGGCCAUCGAUGCAGAGAAAGACGCAGCCUCCAGAGUCAGAUGCAGAAACUGAGGCAUGGAGUUCAUGUGACUGCUCAGAUAACAAAGCCCAGUUCUCCUGACUCCAAAGCUCACAAGCUACCCCUUCAUCCCGGUGUCCCCUCCUCAGAGUCCCAGUGCCUAUGGGGGGGACGACGCUCCUCAGAGCCCCCGAGGAGGGUGAGCAGGCCGCAGAGCUGAGCCGGCCUGGCCUCCCGGCAGAGAGCCCCGGGCCUGGAGGAGUUAACAGCCACCGCAGCCUCUGGGCCCCAGAUGCUCUUAACCAUGACUCAUCACAGCACGUGGCUGCCAUUAGAGUUGUCCCUUCACAAAGGCAGGGGACAGGAGGAGGAGGAAGAGGAGGGAUUUCAGCUCUCCUGGGUCAGCCCUGAGCUCCAGAAUGUCAGAAGAGGAAGCAGGAGGGGGCAGACUGCAGAAACUGUUAAGAUGGGAGCCAAGCUCAGCGAGGUCUGCACCAGGGCUGCCCUUGGAGCUGCAGCUCCCCCACCUGGUGCAGUGCUGGGAUCCUGCAGCCAUCACCUGUGAGUCACAGCAUCAGAUGGGCUCACCUGUAGGAGGUUCCACCUGGGCCAUUCCUGGCCCCAGGAGCUGUGAGUCACCAUCAUUGUUUCUGCCUCCCCAACCCAGAUGCCCCUACUCAGAUCCCAGGCCUGUUACCCCAUCUUGAACUGACAGCUGAGCCCUGGGAACGGGGACGGAAGGGCAUCCUGAGUCCUGGGUCCUUCCCUCUCUAUCAGGGGACCAGUUUCCUGGGGUUUAAUGCCUGGGAGAUGCCAGGCCUGCAGUCCUCCUCAUUUCCUCCCAACCUGAAAGAACAGUUGCCAGUCCCCAGCGCCUCAGUGGCUUCAGCCCCUCAGUGGCUCCAGCCCCCUCCUCCAGGGAUUGCUUUCACCUGUGCCAUCUCUCGGUCCCUAUGUGGUAAAGGAAACCUCCUCAAAAUGCCCCAGAGAGUCUGUGGUAACAUUGCCUCCUCUCCUACAGAGGAGAUAACUGAGGCUAGGAUCAAAUGUGACUUUGACCAGUUGAGCCAGAGCUUGAACCUGUGUCUUGAUUCCUUAUCCUACAGGAAACGGGAAGAUAAGAGGAAGGGAGGGAUGUUGGAAAUGGAUCUCAGAAACAGGGUGGCUAAGCCUGUGCCCUCGUCGUCUUCAUCAUAGAAAGAGCUGAAGCUGUGAAGUCAGCUCUGCACCCAGCUCUGAAUCUGUUUUCCAUCGUGUAAACCCUGGAUAGUAAUCCACACUCUCAAGAAGGUGUGACAGUAACUGAGCAUUACCUGGUGACUCUUUGUCCCUGUUUCUCGCCUUCAGGUCCUUCCCCCAGCCCUUUUCCUGGAAGGAAGUGCCCUCCUCCGUCCCUGUGGUCUCUGCCAGCCCAGACCCUGCCCCCCAGUCCGGCUGAGCUGGGGUCCAUACACCAGGUUUUCUUAGCCGGCUCUACACAGCUAAGGAUUACAGGUUACAGGCUUGGGCUGGUUAAUAAUUCACAAGGGAGCAGGCCCAACAACAUGGGCCCAUGACAGAUACAGUCCCUGGCAGUCGAGCCUGGGGUAGCAUCUGGGCCUGCUCCUGGGAUGGGCCUCCCUCCCCUCCCAUGGACUCUGCCCCCACUAAUUAUGUGGCCUUAGGCACAUUAUGGUCUUACUCUCCCUC